Molecule: ribosomal RNA, 429 nt
Filed under: Verrucomicrobiota bacterium
Lineage: Bacteria; Pseudomonadati; Verrucomicrobiota
Description: Verrucomicrobia bacterium partial 16S ribosomal RNA
Rfam family: Bacterial small subunit ribosomal RNA
Source: RNAcentral
UAGGGAAUCUUCCGCAAUGGACGAAAGUCUGACGGAGCAACGCCGCGUGAGUGAAGAAGGAUUUCGGUUUGUAAAACUUUGUUGUUAGGGAAGAAUAAAUGUAUAGUAACCAUAUACAAAAGAGACGGUACCUAACCAGAAAGCCACGGCUAACUACGUGCCAGCAGCCGCGGUAAUACGUAGGUGGCAAGCGUUUUCCGGAAUUAUUGGGCGUAAAGCGCGCGCAAGUAGUUUAGAAAGUCUGAUGUGAAAACCCACGGCUCAACCGUGGAGGGUCAUUGGAAACUAAUAAACUUGAGUGCAGGGGAGAAAAGUGGAAUUCCUAGUGUAGCGGUGAAAAGCGUAGAGAUAAGGAGGAGCACCGGUGGCGAAAGCGGCUUUUUGGCCUGAAACUGAAUCUAAGGCGCGAAAGAGUGGGGAGCAAACAGG